AGUAAUAGAAUUGGACAUGACAAUCAUAACAGAAAGAGAGAUCAUUUAAGGGAACUAAUGAACCAAGGAAUCAGUGGGAAGGAACAAAAGAAGAAAGGAAAAGGAAUCCACUGAGAGGUAGUAAAGUCUCGACAAUGGCAAGCAACAAAGCUGUAAUGUGAAAGCAAUAGCAUGUGAAUGAGGCCAAUAUAAAUGAACCGUAAGAAAUCAUAUUGAUUAGAACAUUUAGUAAUAGAAUUGGACAUGACAAUCAUAACAGAAAGAGAGAUCAUUUAAGGGAACUAAUGAACCAAGGAAUCAGUGGGAAGGAACAAAAGAAGAAAGGAAAAGGAAUCCACUGAGAGGUAGUAAAGUCUCGACAAUGGCAAGCAACAAAGCUGUAAUGUGAAAGCAAUAGCAUGUGAAUGAGCAAGAAACACCUGAGAGACUCAUACAGCAUCAGGCAAUGAGAGCAGGUACAAAAACUUCAAUCAAGCCUAAAUUUGGAGAGCAA
Molecule: long non-coding RNA, 493 nt
Filed under: Populus tremula
Lineage: Eukaryota; Viridiplantae; Streptophyta; Magnoliopsida; Malpighiales; Salicaceae
Description: long non-coding RNA (PTRE_LNC002333)
Source: RNAcentral